This 294-nucleotide small nuclear RNA is filed under the name Erinaceus europaeus (western European hedgehog). RNAcentral's name for it is "7SK RNA". It matches the Rfam family "7SK RNA". Rfam says of the family: 7SK was discovered as an abundant small nuclear RNA in the mid-70s but a possible function has only recently been suggested. Lineage: Eukaryota; Metazoa; Chordata; Mammalia; Eulipotyphla; Erinaceidae. The record is from Rfam by way of RNAcentral.
GGAUGUGAGGGGGAUCUGGCUGCGACAUCUGUCACCCCAUUGAUUGCCAGGGUUGAAUCGGCUGAUCUGGCUGGCUAGGUGGGUGGCCCCUUCCUCCCUCACCGCUCCAUGUGCGUCCCUUCUGAAGCUGCACGCUCAGUUGAAGAGGACCACCUUCCCCGAAUAGAGACCGACCGGUCGGUCUUCGGUCGAGGGUAUACAAGUAGCUGCGCUCCCCUGCUAGAACCUCCAAACAAGCUCUCAUUAUAGAACCCUGAGGGCUAAUAUACUACUGCUAGAUCAUGAAAAUAAUUA